AGAGUUUGAUCAUGGCUCAGGAUGAACGCUGGCGGCGUGCUUAAGACAUGCAAGUCGAACGAAGAAUUUAGCAAUAAAUUCUUAGUGGCGAAUGGGUGCGUAACACGUAGGUGACCUACCCCGAAGUGUGGAAUAACAGUCCGAAAGGACUGCUAAUACCGCAUGUGGUCCCGGGUUUUAGAAAGCCGGGUCUAAAGCAGUAAUGCGCUUCGGGAGGGGCCUGCGGCCCAUCAGCUUGCUGGUAGGGUAAUGGCCUACCAAGGCUACGACGGGUAGGGGACCUGAGAGGGUGACCCCCCACAUUGGCACUGACACACGGGCCAAACUCCUACGGGAGGCAGCAGUCGGGAAUAUUGCACAAUGGACGAAAGUCUGAUGCAGCAACGCCGCGUGCGCGAUGAAGGCCUUCGGGUCGUAAAGCGCUUUUCGGGAGGAUGAGGAAGGACAGUACUCCCGAAUA
Molecule: ribosomal RNA, 460 nt
Filed under: uncultured Caldilineaceae bacterium
Lineage: Bacteria; Bacillati; Chloroflexota; Caldilineae; Caldilineales; Caldilineaceae
Description: bacterial SSU rRNA
Rfam family: Bacterial small subunit ribosomal RNA
Source: RNAcentral